RNAcentral lists this ribosomal RNA (251 nucleotides) under uncultured bacterium. RNAcentral describes it as "partial 16S ribosomal RNA". It matches the Rfam family "Bacterial small subunit ribosomal RNA", at positions 524 to 776 of the family's 1533-position model. The record is from RNAcentral.
GACGGGGGGGGCAAGUGUUCUUCGGAAUGACUGGGCGUAAAGGGCACGUAGGCGGUGAAUCGGGUUGAAAGUGAAAGUCGCCAAAAACUGGCGGAAUGCUCUCGAAACCAAUUCACUUGAGUGAGACAGAGGAGAGUGGAAUUUCGUGUGUAGGGGUGAAAUCCCGAGAUCUACGAAGGAACGCCAAAAGCGAAGGCAGCUCUCUGGGUCCCUACCGACGCUGAGGCGCGAAAGCGUGGGGAGCGAACAGG